GAUGAACGCUGGCGGCGUGCCUAAUACAUGCAAGUCGAGCGAACAGACGAGGAUCUUGCUCCUCUGACGUUAGCGGCGGACGGGUGAGUAACACGUGGAUAACCUACCUAUAAGACUGGGAUAACUUCGGGAAACCGGCUCUAAUACCGGAUAAUAUAUUGAACCGCAUGGUUCAAUAGUGAAAGACGGUUUUGCUGGCGCUUGUGGAGGGAUCCGCGCCGCAUCAGCUAGUUGGUGGGGUAGUGGCUUACCAAGGCAAUGACGCGUAGCCGGCCUGAGAGGGGAACCGGCCACAUUGGGACUGAGAUACGGCCCAGACUCCUACGGGAGGCAGCAGUGGGGAAUAUUGCACAAUGGGCGGAAGCCUGAUGCAGCAACGCCGCGUGCGGGAUGACGGCCUUCGGGUUGUAAACCGCUUUCGCCUGUGACGAAGCGUGAGUGACGGUAAUGGGUAAAGAAGCACCGGCUAACUACGUG
RNAcentral lists this ribosomal RNA (477 nucleotides) under uncultured bacterium. Its description in RNAcentral is "partial 16S ribosomal RNA". It matches the Rfam family "Bacterial small subunit ribosomal RNA", at positions 28 to 507 of the family's 1533-position model. The record is from RNAcentral.